AUUGAACGCUGGCGGCAGGCCUAACACAUGCAAGUCGAACGGAGUGGCGGACGGGUGAGUAAUGUCUGGGAAACUGCGUGAUGGAGGGGGAUAACGUCCGGAAACGGGCGCUAAUACCGCAUACUAUCAGAUGAGCCUAGGUGGGAGUAGCUAGGUGGGGGGGUAAAGGCCUACCAAGGCGACGAGCCGUAACUGGUCUGAGAGGAUGAGCAGCCACACUGGAACUGAGACACGGUCCAGACUCCUACGGGAGGCAGCAGUGGGGAAUAUUGGACAAUGGGCGAAAGCCUGAUCCAGCCAUGCCGCGUGUGUGAAGAAGGUCUUCGGAUUGUAAAGCACUUUAAGUUGGGAGGCGUUACCAACAGAAUAAGCACCGGCUAACUUCGUGCCAGCAGCCGCGGUAAUAC
This 407-nucleotide ribosomal RNA is filed under the name uncultured bacterium. Its description in RNAcentral is "partial 16S ribosomal RNA". It matches the Rfam family "Bacterial small subunit ribosomal RNA", at positions 29 to 526 of the family's 1533-position model. The record is from RNAcentral.